CCCUUAGAUGUUCUGGGCCGCACACGCGCUACACUGAAGGAGGCAGCGUGUACUCCUGGAUCGAAAGAUUUGGGUAACCCGCGAAUCUCCUUCGUGCUAGGGAUUGAGGUUUGCAAUUAUCCUUCAUGAACGAGGAAUUCCCAGUAAGUGCAAGUCAUAAGCUUGCGCUGACUACGUCCCUGCCCUUUGUACACACCGCCCGUCGCUACUACCGAUUGAAUGAUUUAGUGAGGACUUCGGACUGGGACCGAUGCGGCUUUCGGGCUGCGUCGGUAUUCUGGAAAGAUGUCCAAACGGUAUCAUUUAGAGGAAGUAAAANUCGUANCA
Molecule: ribosomal RNA, 327 nt
Filed under: uncultured eukaryote
Lineage: Eukaryota
Description: partial 18S ribosomal RNA
Rfam family: Eukaryotic small subunit ribosomal RNA
Source: RNAcentral